RNAcentral lists this microRNA precursor (116 nucleotides) under Mustela putorius furo (domestic ferret). The record is from RNAcentral. Lineage: Eukaryota; Metazoa; Chordata; Mammalia; Carnivora; Mustelidae.
CACGUGCGUGCCCGGCGGCGCCCACCUCUGGUGCCUGGGAAGAAGUUGCCCGUGUUAUUUUCGCUUGAUAUGUGCCGAAACAAACAUGGUGCACUUCUUUCUCGGUAUCAAAUCUC